RNAcentral lists this RNase P RNA (388 nucleotides) under Streptomonospora mangrovi. RNAcentral describes it as "RNase P RNA component class A". It matches the Rfam family "Bacterial RNase P class A". From Rfam's summary of the family: Ribonuclease P (RNase P) is a ubiquitous endoribonuclease, found in archaea, bacteria and eukarya as well as chloroplasts and mitochondria. Its best characterised activity is the generation of mature 5'-ends of tRNAs by cleaving the 5'-leader elements of precursor-tRNAs. Lineage: Bacteria; Bacillati; Actinomycetota; Actinomycetes; Streptosporangiales; Nocardiopsidaceae. The record is from RNAcentral.
AGAGUCGGCCAGGCGGUCGCGGCACCGCGUGCGGUGUCGAGGAAAGUCCGGACUCCACAGGGCAGGGUGGUCGGUAACACCGACCCGGGGCGACCCGCGGGACAGUGCCACAGAAAGCAGACCGCCACCGGCCCGACCGGUGGUAAGGGUGAAACGGUGGUGUAAGAGACCACCAGCGGCCGGAGCGAUCCGGUCGGCUAGGUAAACCCCACCCGGAGCAAGGUCAAAAAGGGGGAGCGAUCAGUUCCCCCGCGCGAACGCUUGAGGGCGGCCCGCCCGAGGUUCGCGGGUAGACCGCACCGAGGCUGACGGCAACGCCAGUCCCAGAUGGAUGACCGCCCGGUCCCCAGCGGACCGACAGAAUCCGGCUUACCGGCCGACUCUUCCC